Molecule: ribosomal RNA, 665 nt
Filed under: uncultured Micromonosporaceae bacterium
Lineage: Bacteria; Bacillati; Actinomycetota; Actinomycetes; Micromonosporales; Micromonosporaceae
Description: bacterial SSU rRNA
Rfam family: Bacterial small subunit ribosomal RNA
Source: RNAcentral
CUUUGGGAUAACCCUCGGAAACGGGGGCUAAUACCGGAUAUUACUGCUGGACGCGUGUUUGGUGGUGGAAAGUUUUUCGGCCUGGGAUGGGCUCGCGGCCUAUCAGCUUGUUGGUGGGGUGAUGGCCUACCAAGGCGACGACGGGUAGCCGGCCUGAGAGGGCGACCGGCCACACUGGGACUGAGACACGGCCCAGACUCCUACGGGAGGCAGCAGUGGGGAAUAUUGCACAAUGGGCGGAAGCCUGAUGCAGCGACGCCGCGUGGGGGAUGACGGCCUUCGGGUUGUAAACCUCUUUCAGCAGGGACGAAGCGCAAGUGACGGUACCUGCAGAAGAAGCGCCGGCCAACUACGUGCCAGCAGCCGCGGUAAGACGUAGGGCGCGAGCGUUGUCCGGAUUUAUUGGGCGUAAAGAGCUCGUAGGCGGCUUGUCGCGUCGACCGUGAAAACUUGGGGCUCAACCCCAAGCCUGCGGUCGAUACGGGCAGGCUAGAGUUCGGUAGGGGAGACUGGAAUUCCUGGUGUAGCGGUGAAAUGCGCAGAUAUCAGGAGGGACACCGGUGGCGAAGGCGGGUCUCUGGGCCGAUACUGACGCUGAGGAGCGAAAGCGUGGGGAGCGAACAGGAUUAGAUACCCUGGUAGUCCACGCUGUAAACGUUGGGCGC